Molecule: long non-coding RNA, 652 nt
Filed under: Nicotiana benthamiana
Lineage: Eukaryota; Viridiplantae; Streptophyta; Magnoliopsida; Solanales; Solanaceae
Description: long non-coding RNA (NBEN_LNC016561)
Source: RNAcentral
GUUUUACUCUUGCUUCUUUAAACGUGCCACAAGGUAACAAACUAACAAUGUUCUCCUUUAAAACUGGCUUUUGACGUCCAUAAGCGGCAACAAUCCUAUUUGACUUGGGCGACAUGCAAGCAAGAAAUCUAUGCUAUUACGGAUCAAGCCAUAAAUACUGAUACUAUCAAGCUUUUUAUCCUAUAAUAGUAUUACUAAUGGGAACUGAUGGAAUUAUUCUCUAACUGCUGAAGUGCAUAAAAUCCUGCAGUGAAAAUAGAGGAUGGGAACCUCAGGUCUACCAAAAAUCUCUGAUUCUUUGGAGAGCCUAAAUUACACAACUAUAAUUGCUUACAGUGACCCUAUAUCUCAAGAUAAACCUGAUCCACCUACAGCGGGAUUCUUAUGCAGCUGUUAUUCACACCGAGUGUCCAUGAGAGUUUGCAAAUAAUUUAUGGCAUAGGCGGGGUGAAUUCAAGUUCAGCAGUCAUCCUUUUCUGGAUCAGCCGAGUGUCCACGAGAGUUUGCAAAUAAUUUAUGGCAUAGGCGGGGUGAAUUCAAGUUCAGCAGUCAUCCUUUUCUGGAUCAAGAACUGGGAGAAUUGCCAAUGCUGACGAAGAAAGAUGCAUACCCCGCACCAAACCUCCAUAACCAAUCUUUAUCUUAUAGCACA